UUUUUCUCAUCUAGAUAAUCUUCAUUUCUAGCAAAUAUUAUAAAGGUAUAAGAAAAAAAAAAGAACUUAGCUACACACCUAGGUAUUACAUAUAAAUAUAAUAUGCUUUGCUCUUUCCUUUGAAAUUUGACAUAUAUUUUGAAUAUAGGUUAAACCAUUUUCAAAAAGGUAUAAACCGUGCAAAAUAUAAUCUUUAAACCAUAUAUGUUAUAAUGGUUUCAUACAGAUAUUUGAUAUUUGCACACCAUGCGAA
Cinara cedri is the source of this 253-nucleotide non-coding RNA. The record is from the annotation of a GenBank genome assembly. NCBI's taxonomy places the organism in Eukaryota, Metazoa, Arthropoda, Insecta, Hemiptera, Aphididae.